Molecule: long non-coding RNA, 2429 nt
Organism: Vicia villosa (hairy vetch)
Lineage: Eukaryota; Viridiplantae; Streptophyta; Magnoliopsida; Fabales; Fabaceae
Exons: 7
Source: RefSeq, a predicted model, not a curated record
CUCAGAAAGUUGAAUGAAUUAGAUAAAGUUUGAUGCUUAAUGAUGCAGAUUGAAUGAGGAAACGAAGAGCGUUGAUAGUCUAGCAUCCCAAUUGUAUCCAUUCACUUUGAUCUUUGCUAAUUGUUAACUUAAUUUGUUUUUACCGUUUUUGUUUAUGCUACUUGGAAGGUUAAGCAUAGAUGUCAUUUACAAGUCACAAACAGGGUACCAACCAAAAUAUCUGAUACGACGACGUUAUCGUGGAUCUGACGUUUUCAUCGGUUUUAUAGAGGUGUGCGGUUUUCCAGUGGUAGAUCAAUUGUGUUGCGUUUCCGGUGGUGAGUUUGGUGGUGUCGGGUUCGAUAUGGUUGAAGCACUCUGAUUGUCCCUCUCUCAAUCCACCGACACCUCACUACAUCAUAUUCAAUGCUUCACCGACGCCGCCGGUCAUCUUCAAGAAUCUGUGCUUGAUGCAGCAACUAAAGGGAAUCGAUAUAUAAAUUCGUGUCUCAAGUAAGUUUUUAUACGUGUUUUUGAAGGUUUGAUUCACCAUCACUUUAUCUGUUACACGUCUUAUAUUUAUUUUCUUUUACAUUUGUCAUAUAAACUAAUAGUGAAGGGCAGAAGCAUAACUUUAAUGAGUAGAUGUAGCAUCUUUUACAAAACUGGAAUGCGUCGUAUAUGUUGUCUUUGAAUCAGCGGGUAUGUUUUGGUUUUCCUAACUUUCAUCGGAGUGGAAAUUGAUAAUUACAUUAUGGUAUUUCUGUGACAUCAGAUUCACGAACAACAAUUUGCGGAUCCGUCAACAAGCUUCCAUUCGCACACUGAUUGAAGCAAUUAUUGGGUUUUGUCUGAGUUUUUAGAUAAGAUUGUGGUCGGAUGGUGGCUGAUGAUGUUGUUCCUGGUGUUAAUCAAAUUCCAGUUAAGGCUCCCAGGAAGGUUCCUCGAUCGCCUUAUAAGGUGAAUUUGAUUUAUUUUCUUAAUCUAUUUUAUGCUGUUAAUUUAGGUUUUUGAUGUUAGUGGAGAUGAGAAUUUGUGGGUUCGUUUGAUAAGUUUUGGAUGCACCUGCGUUGCAAGAUGAUUUUUAUUUGAAUCUAGUGGAUUCGUCUUCGCACAAUGUGUUGGCGUUUGGUUUGGGUAUGCACCUUCCAUCGAAGAUGCCAACCAAAGGGGCAAUAAAGCAAAUAGAUGGUGGGAAAGUUUCUUGCCCUUUGGACAGAAAGAGGUGACGUCGUCGUAAGAGAUAUUUUCUAUUCUGUUUCAGUAGCUGGUACUCAUAUUGUUGGUUCUCGGGAGCAACUUUGCAUUCAUGAAAAAGUGAAGUUACCUUGGGGAAAAACACAAACAAAUGCUUGGCGAUAUUCCUGUCGAAGGCGUGCAAAGCAUAAACAUCAAUGUAACAAUUUCAAAAAUGUUCCUGGAAAGUUUUUAAAACCUUUUUCUUUGCAUUUAAUAUAAUUACUUAUCAGUUAUAAAUUACUUGUGAAAGUGUUUAGUGAAAUUAUUGCAUCAACUGAGGAUAAAGUGUUUCUUAUACCAUUAUGGUCCUAUUAGGUUUGUUCCCUGAGUGAUAAAGUGUUCAAUAAUUUGUGUGAUUGUGUUGGGGUAACGUUUUUUCUGUUUUUGGUAUCUUGAAAUAUCUGCAUUAUGUUGGCAUUACAUGCAAGUGUUUUGAUGAUGUUUGUUUUACUUGCUGGAUCAAACUUCUUCAAAUUGUGCAGUCAGGAGAUUUAUAAGUAUGCAUUGAAGGAGAUGGAUUAUGAGUUAUGACUAUCUAGAUCUUCACCUCAAAAAGAUGUAAGUAUAAAGGGUAAUGUUGCUCUUGCUGAACCAAUUUGGAUUGGUUUUUUGUGAUAUGCUGCAGAUAUUCGUCUAAGUACUGAUGCGGUUAUUUUGAAUCUCCUCUGUUGAUUAAGUUAUUUUAUAUUUUUUUUUGAUAUCAUUAAUGCAUUACUGCUUAUUGCAUUUUGUAGAUUUUUACGGUUGGACUAUUGUUUAGUUGGGAGUUAAUUUGGAUUUAUUGUUUUCAAACUUGGGUAAGAUUUCCCAAAAGUAUAUCUUACCUUAGCUUGCAGGUUCCAAGUUGACAUUGAAGCUUUACAAGCAUGUUGCAGAGGCAUUUGUAACAAAAUAUGGGAUGUCAAUUCUUGCAAGCUCUUCACUUCGUAUAUUGCUCAAGCAUUAGAGAUGAAGCCAUGUCUGGUAUAGCUACUGCCUGCACAAAUUUAAAGAAGCUUCAUAUCCGACGUUGUUAUGAGUAGGGUAAACGGAAAGAUGCAAAAGAAAAGAGAUACUAAGAACUCCAAAUUUGGUUUUGGAGGCCGGAAGGGAUCGAAGAAGCAGAAUACACUGACACACAGGGCCGGCCCUGGGCCAGGACAAGCAAUUUUGGGAGGUGUAGUUGGCAAUUUAUAACAAUGAUAUAAUAAAAUAUAUUACUUUUAGCGAAA